Bactrocera latifrons is the source of this 615-nucleotide long non-coding RNA. RefSeq lists it as uncharacterized. The transcript is spliced from 3 exons. Lineage: Eukaryota; Metazoa; Arthropoda; Insecta; Diptera; Tephritidae. The record is from RefSeq and is a predicted model, not a curated record.
GUAAACGAUUGGUGCGGCGUCAGCGUUUCUGCGAUCUUAAAGUCACAAAAUUUGUGGCAGAACAMAAACAGAAAAGAAAAGUGAUAAAUUAGCAUAUGAGCGUAGUAACAGCCAGCAGCURGACGACUACAGGUCUUCAAAGGUGUAAAACAACAACAACAAAACCAAAACUAACAAAGUGAAAAUACGAAAUACUAACAGYGAGCCGAAUUUAUUAACGCAGCACGACAAAAUAAACGAACUAAUGAAGUGUGUUAAAAGCGGAAUCUGGCGUGUUUUGGUAGUGAAAUAGUGAAAACAACAACAAAUAAGUGCGUUAGAAAAAAUCGUGUGCUAAAACGUGCGGCCAAAGUGUUGACAGCGUUCGAAAAUGAGUGAAGAAUGUUGAAAGCGGAAAUAGAGCACGUAUUCGAAACAUAUUUCGUAACAAAAAAUUAUUUCAACAGAAUCAAAUCGAAAAUAGUGUCUAAAGUAUUUCCCAAAAUUAUUUUUCAAAAGCGUCAGUGGCAUUGCAAAGUUUAGCUGCUGACAAGCAAUCAGCAGCGUGUCAAGUCAACAAUACCGCACAACAACAAUAAAACAAUUGCAAUACGUACAAAAUAAAUAAAAAAAAAA